Molecule: ribosomal RNA, 465 nt
Filed under: uncultured bacterium
Lineage: Bacteria
Description: partial 16S ribosomal RNA
Rfam family: Bacterial small subunit ribosomal RNA
Source: RNAcentral
GACGAACGCUGGCGGCGUGCUUAACACAUGCAAGUCGAACGGAAAGGCCCUGCUUGCAGGGUACUCGAGUGGCGAACGGGUGAGUAACACGUGGGUGAUCUGCCCUGCACUUCGGGAUAAGCCUGGGAAACUGGGUCUAAUACCGGAUAGGAGCCAUUUUUAGUGUGAUGGUUGGAAAGUUUUUUCGGUGUAGGAUGAGCUCGCGGCCUAUCAGCUUGUUGGUGGGGUAAUGGCCUACCAAGGCGGCGACGGGUAGCCGGCCUGAGAGGGUGGACGGCCACAUUGGGACUGAGAUACGGCCCAGACUCCUACGGGAGGCAGCAGUGGGGAAUAUUGCACAAUGGGCGCAAGCCUGAUGCAGCGACGCCGCGGGGGGGAUGACGGCCUUCGGGUUGUAAACUCCUUUCGCUAGGGACGAAGCUUUUUGUGACGGUACCUAGAUAAGAAGCACCGGCUAUCUACGUG